This 484-nucleotide ribosomal RNA is filed under the name uncultured bacterium. RNAcentral's name for it is "partial 16S ribosomal RNA". The record is from RNAcentral.
GUAGUUAGCCGGGGCUUCCUCCUUGGCUACCGUCACUUUCUUCGUCACCAAGGACAGAGGUUUACAACCCGAAAGCCUUCUUCCCUCACGCGGCGUUGCUGGGUCAGGCUUGCGCCCAUUGCCCAAUAUUCCCCACUGCUGCCUCCCGUAGGAGUCUGGACCGUGUCUCAGUUCCAGUGUGGCCGAUCAGCCUCUCAGCUCGGCUACCCAUCGUUGGCUUGGUGGGCCGUUACCUCACCAACUACCUAAUGGGACGCGAACCCCUCUUAAAGCGGAUUGCUCCUUUGACCUCAUCCCGAUGCCGGGUCGUGGUCUUAUGCGGUAUUAGCACUUGUUUCCAGGUGUUAUCCCCCUCUUUAAGGCAGGUUGUUCACGCGUUACUCACCCGUUCGCCACUAAGUCAAAACCGAAUCUUGUACUCCGUUCGACUUGCAUGUGUUAGGCACGCGCCACGCGUCGUCUGAGCACUGAUACAACUACUCGA